This is a long non-coding RNA of Helianthus annuus (common sunflower), 385 nucleotides long. RefSeq lists it as uncharacterized. The record is from RefSeq and is a predicted model, not a curated record. The transcript has 3 exons. Lineage: Eukaryota; Viridiplantae; Streptophyta; Magnoliopsida; Asterales; Asteraceae.
GUGUGUUUGGUCGACAUAUGCAGAGCAAAAAGGGGAAGCUCUCAAAAACCCUAAAACUCACAAAUCACCAAGAAUCAAAGAAGGAUUUCAACAAUAAUCAGUGUUGAAGCUAAUUUCGUGAUCAAUCACGUUAAGAGAUCCCAAGGCGACUCGAGCGAGAAGGCGGGUGAUAAAGUCGGGAGCGAUACGCGGCUUAAAGGAAAGAUCUAAGGUAAACUUUAGUAAGCUUACGGAUGAAGAUCAAGCUCGUUAAAGAACCGAACACAAUCAAGAUGCAACCUUCCGCACGUUGUAUCGUUAUCAGUUUUAAACGACGAACUCACCUACAUUAUGUUGUAAUUAUUUUUAAAUUGUAAAAGUUUUAAAUAAACCCGUAUUUUCAUAA